Molecule: ribosomal RNA, 570 nt
Filed under: Rhodosporidiobolus ruineniae
Lineage: Eukaryota; Fungi; Basidiomycota; Microbotryomycetes; Sporidiobolales; Sporidiobolaceae
Description: partial large subunit ribosomal RNA
Rfam family: Eukaryotic large subunit ribosomal RNA
Source: RNAcentral
CUAACAAGGAUUCCCCUAGUAGCGGCGAGCGAAGCGGGAAGAGCUCAAAUUUAUAAUCUGGCGCUUUCGGCGUCCGAGUUGUAAUCUCUAGAAGUGUUUUCCGCGUUGGACCGCACAUAAGUCUGUUGGAAUACAGCGGCACAGUGGUGAGACCCCCGUUCACGGUGCGGAUGCCCAAUGCUUUGUGAUACACUUUCGAAGAGUCGAGUUGUUUGGGAAUGCAGCUCAAAUUGGGUGGUAAAUUCCAUCUAAAGCUAAAUAUUGGCGAGAGACCGAUAGCGAACAAGUACCGUGAGGGAAAGAUGAAAAGCACUUUGGAAAGAGAGUUAACAGUACGUGAAAUUGUUGGAAGGGAAACGCUUGAAGUCAGACUUGCUAUUCGGGGCUUGCUCCGAGUUGCAGGCCAGCAUCAGUUUUUCGGGGCGGAAAAUCACGGAUUGAAGGUAGCAGUUUCGGCUGUGUUAUAGCUUUCCGUUGGAUACGUCCUGGGGGACUGAGGAACGCAGUGUGCUUUUAGCGAGGGCUUCGGCUCUUUCACACUUAGGAUGCUGGUGGAAUGGCUUUAAACGA